RNAcentral lists this unclassified non-coding RNA (4203 nucleotides) under Monomorium pharaonis (pharaoh ant). RNAcentral describes it as "uncharacterized LOC114255505, transcript variant X1". Lineage: Eukaryota; Metazoa; Arthropoda; Insecta; Hymenoptera; Formicidae. The record is from RNAcentral.
GUAAAAUUCUUCAAGGUUUACGUUGUUUCACAAUUACCACAAUUUUCAGGGUAAUUUUUAAGAGAAAAUUCUCUGCGUGUACUAAUGACAUUUCCCUCAUUAUAAAAAUUAUAUUAUAAAAAUCGAAUUAAUAACCUGCAUUAAUAAAUAUUUUAUUUUUUUUAUUCCACCUUAUAAUUUUGUUUUGAUUUCGAUUAAAACAAACGAUGCUAUCAGUGGCAUAUUUCAUUGCUUAUCUUGACAUUGUAAUCAACUUCAUCUCUUAAAUGUUCUGUCAAUUUACGUGUGAAAGUCCCUUGAGAAACAAUUCGCUUUGCAUGUAUGCGUGCAUGCUGAAAAAUCUGAAAUCGUAAAGUAUCAUUUUUCAUUUUAAAAUUUCUCGACACUGACUUCACAAAUUUUAUUCAGAAUGGUCACAAUCGUAAGUAUGUAUCAACACUAUAUUUACUUAUAUUGCGUAAUUUUUGCGUAAGUUUUAAAAUAUUUUAAUCAAAAAUUUAUUUAAUGUAUAAAUUCUAGCUGUCUAAGUUUAAUAGUGCCACGACAUUGUACACGUUACACGACCUGUCAAUUUUUUCUAUGUUAUUUUACUUAUAAAAAAUCAAACGUUAGAUUCUCACAACAAACGUCAUAAAUUAAUUAAUUUAAUAUCAAAAGAUUGAUUUUGUAUAUUACACAACAAUGGAUAAAAAUUACAAAGUGAGUAAAUUCAUUAUAUGGUGACUAGGAAAUCAUAAAUAUUCUAGUAAAUUUAUUCACUUUUGUAAUUUUCACUAAAUAUAUGAUUGAUCCCUAGAUCAUCGUGAUAAUAGUUGAACAUCAUUUUGCCACUAUCUGUCAUCGUUUACACGUCAAUCUAUUAAUCAAAGCUCAUCGAUUCUGAAAUUUUCAAAUGAUUUGGAAUACCUUGCGGAAAAAUAUUACAUUAACCAAUUGUAUUCAAGUACUGAUUUAAUCAAAGUCGAUUUAAAGAGAAAAUUGUGAAAUGAAUGUCACCGAAUAUCGAAUGAGAACCCUCGCUUUUAUUAUGCCUCCGAGUGAAGGUCCGAUCUCGGGAUGGAAAGGAUGUGCUCUUCGAGUUACGGUGCUCGCAGUAGGAUUCGGAAUUUACAUUUUGUUGUUCAAGAAGAAGAAUUUAUCCAGCGGAAGAUUGAGUUUACAGAGAACUCCAAAAAUUCCAAUCGAACCAGAUGACAAUUUAAAUACCGAAUUAAAAGAACUCAGCGAUGAUAGAUCCGUAGUAACAGACAAUGGUGAAGUCUGCCCCAUCUGUUUGGGAGAACCGAAGAUUGGUGUGAGACCUCUUUGCGGUCAUUUACUAUGUGCAGAAUGCCUAGCAAAUUAUUGCGAUGUUAGAAUCACACCUGCGCCGCCACCUUGCCCAUUAUGCAGAGCACCGUUGAACUCAGUGGCCUUGGCCUGUGACUUUGCUAUCUUAGGUCCUAAAAUGAUAGACCCAGACACUAUUAUGGUGCAAGAUUGGAUACGCAAAUAUAAUAAUCAUCGAGGUUUAGUGACACCGGUAUGGCCGUUUUUGACAACGCGACUUGUCCUUUUCUUUAAUAUCUUGACUUUUUUUCUGAUUGUCGGACUGCUCGCCACGAGACUUCAGAUAAUAUCCUGGGAAAAUUGAACGUUACAUAUGUGCUUGCAUUACCGAUAUCGAUAAUUGUGUUAAUUAUACGCGUCUAUCAAAAGUCAAGAAAAAUAGUCAAGUUCUUCUUAAGGAAACAUUAAAAGUAUGAAUUAUAAAAACAUCUUCAAUUGACAUGCAAUAAUUUUGACCACUAUAUUGUAUAUUUCGUGUGGAAUAAUUAAUACCUUGUCAGUAAUAUUUUAAUAUGUUAAUCAAUCCAAAACAAGAUUCACAAAAAAUAACAGCAAAUUUUUUUAUCAUUUUUCUUCUGUAAUCUACUAUAUUUAUUUUUAAAUGUAUAAUGUGUCUGUAAAUAUAAAAAGUGAUAUAAAAUGUGUAUAACAGAUUUUUUUUCAUGUAUUAACGAUAAAUAAAAUAUGUAAAUUUAAUAAAAUUAUAUCACAAAAAACGAACAAUAGUGUCAGCACUGUGAACUGCGAAAAUGCUGGUCAAGCGAUAUAUGAAUUCUAUUCGCCAAGCGGGUGCAUUAUGCAAUUGCAUGUUCUUGUACUCUUAAAUUUUUGCCGGGCAGGAUCGAUUAGUGGAUGGGAUUUCGGACCUGCAAGCACACCACAUAUAGAACGUUCUAGCUUGCGUUCUAAACAUUAAGUAUUAAUUAUUUUAUUAAACAAUUUUUUAAUCCAACCGCUGGCCCUUCAAUAGGAAGUAUGAUGUGUUAGCAGUUCUGAUUGUAAUUUUUUCGCAAUUCUUAAGAGUAUGUAAAACUCUUAUAAAGAGUGAACUUUAACUCUUAUGGAAAAUUAUGAAAUGGAAAAUUACUCGAAAAAUUGUAGUGGAAGUAUUUUCAUUCUAUAAAUUGUUAAUUUUUGGGGGGGAAUCGGAUUUACUACAACAAAAUACUGCAAUUGCAGAGAGUAUCAUAUAUAUGAGAAUACUUUCCGGAGUAGAUUCUCCGCAGCGUUAAAUCUGGCCUUCACGGAAAUAUCGAUGUCCUUGAACUUAAUUGCUAUACUAGAGCAAGUGCGAUCGAUCGAAUUCAAUCGAAACUCAACUGUGGUAAUCUAAACUUUAUUACAUAUUCUGAAUAAAUUUCUGUAAUAGUUAUCUAUCGUUGUAAUUUAUUAUAAUAUUCAAGAAAGACAUGGAAUAUAGGUUACUACUAUCAGUUAAUGUUAAUUAAUAAAACGUCUUGAUUCUAUUUUUUUUAAUUAACAAAAUGUUUUUUUCCAUUAAAAAUUAUAUAUCAGAAGAAUCCAAAGGUUUUGUUUUUACUUAUUAAAUUAUAUUAUUCCUAUAUCGAUCGAUUUUCACUUAAUAUUGUUUAUUUCACUAUAGUUGUACACUUUAAUGCAAAAUAGAAUUCUCAUAAUAGUUUCUUAUGUUUAAUAGAUUUAUAUGCUAAUUUUUUAAUAUACUUUCUUAACAAAUAAAACGUUUUUAAAUGUCAGAAUCAGAUUUAGUAUUUAAAACUUGUAUAAAAAAACCAUCUUUCUUUAGUUCCAAAAGCUAAAAAAUCGUCUUAAUCUCUAAAUUCCAAUUAAUAUAUUAUCACUGAUUUGUGCACCGAGAAAAAGCUUUUUGUUGCCAAAACAAAAGCAAGGAUUGCUUAGAAGGAACAGUUACCAUUGUAAAUUAUUUCUCAUCAUUUGUUAUUUUAAGAAACAUAUUGUCUAAGAUACAAAUCACAUUUGUUCACUUAGAGUUCAAUGGCUACAACAGCAAAUCACAUUUCUUCACUUGGAGUUCAAUGGCUACAACAGCAAAUCAAACGUAACAAAUCAUUUGUUCUCACAAUAGAGUUAUUUGUUGUCCCACAAUAAUGUCAGCAAAUCAUUUACUACAGUAGUUUCUGUCUUGUUAAUUUAACAAAAAUAUUUAUCUCAGUGUGUAUACUUAUAACUGUGAUAAUUAGUGGGUAUUUACUGUCUUUUAGUGAUUUUUGCUUUAAAAAUAAAAUCACUGAAAGAUCAAUGUAUUUUUAGUUCACUAAUUAACAAGUUAUAAAUGUACCAUUGAAAAUCAGUGUAUUUUUGAUGAUAAUGUUUUUGGUAGUUAUACAGAUUAGAAAUAUUAAAUAAGAGUAAGAUUAUAUUAAAAUUAUAUUAUAUUAAAUAAAAAUAAGAUUAUAUUAUAUAAGUAUAUUUAUAGAAAUAUUAAAUAAUAAGUAUCAAUAUUUCUUAUUUAAUAAAACUCUAGAUGUUGAAAGAAAUCAAAUGCCCUAUUCAGAACAAUUCGGACUUCAUAUUAAUUUUGAUUAAAAAACUAUUUUUUUUAAUUAAAAAAAAUUAUAAAAUUUAACAUCGACCAUUAACUCAUACAUCAAAAAGAAGCCAUGAGCGCUCGUUCUAUUAUUUUUCGAUUUUAAUUGAAAGAGCAGUCGCUAUGUUGACGAUUGCACAAUCUAAUAUGAACGUACUUUUUGUGAUAGAAUUAUUGUAGAUACACUUUGGCGGACGCCCGCCUGAACAUUGAAAACUAAAUAUUAAAAACUAGAAUCAUCGAAGUGACAUUUUUCACAGAUUCUAUCUCGAGAUCUCGGGAUUAAUUGCACCGAUUUUAUUCGGACUGGUCGCAAUCAAAAAAAUUUGUAUCAUUAUAUGAUUAAU